RNAcentral lists this ribosomal RNA (497 nucleotides) under uncultured bacterium. RNAcentral's name for it is "partial 16S ribosomal RNA". It matches the Rfam family "Bacterial small subunit ribosomal RNA", at positions 28 to 507 of the family's 1533-position model. The record is from RNAcentral.
GAUGAACGCUGGCGGCGUGCCUAAUACAUGCAAGUCGAGCGAACGGACGAGAAGCUUGCUUCUCUGAUGUUAGCGGCGGACGGGUGAGUAACACGUGGAUAACCUACCUAUAAGACUGGGAUAACUUCGGGAAACCGGAGCUAAUACCGGAUAAUAUUUUGAACCGCAUGGUUCAAAAGUGAAAGACGGUCUUGCUGUCACUUAUAGAUGGAUCCGCGCUGCAUUAGCUAGUUGGUAAGGUAACGGCUUACCAAGGCAACGAUGCAUAGCCGACCUGAGAGGAUGAUCGGCCACACUGGAACUGAGACACGGUCCAGACUCCUGCGGAAGGCAGCAGUAGGGAAUCUUCCGCAGUGGGCGAAAGUCUGACGGAGCAACGCCGCGUGAGUUAUGAAGGUCUUCGGGUCUUAAAACUCUGUUAUUAGGGAAGAACAUAUGUGUAAGUAACUGUACGCAACUUGACGGUACCUAAUCAGAAAGCAACGGCUAACUACGUG